Molecule: ribosomal RNA, 277 nt
Filed under: uncultured bacterium
Lineage: Bacteria
Description: partial 16S ribosomal RNA
Source: RNAcentral
CUGCUGCCUCCCGUAGGAGUCUGGUCCGUGUCUCAGUACCAGUGUGGGGGGCCUUCCUCUCAGAACCCCUACGCAUCGUCGCCUCGGUGGGCCGUUACCCCGCCGACCUAGCUAAUGCGCCGCAUGCCCAUCCGUGGCCGGGAUUGCUCCCUUUGGCGGCCUUGGGAUGCCCCAAGGCCGCGUUACGCGGUAUUAGACGGGUUUCCCCCGCUUAUCCCCCUGCCACGGGCAGGUUGCCAUACGUGUUACUCACCCGUGCGCCGGUCGCCGGCAACGG